UUCAUUAUUAAUUAUACCAAUCCUUUCAUAUAUGUAGAAAAAAUGUUUGAGUUGGUCAUCUGUCUUUUAUUGAAGAUGCAUUUCAAAUAUCAAAUAUAUUUGAAAGAUAAAAUAGCAUCUGUGAAAUUGAAUAUUAUUUUAUGUGCGCUUGGCUAUGCCCUAAAAUGUCAGUUUAUUAUCCCUAAAGACGUAUUUAUUGAUGUUUACCAAGAAUAGAAGUUGGCUGGGCACAA
Molecule: long non-coding RNA, 233 nt
Filed under: Homo sapiens (human)
Lineage: Eukaryota; Metazoa; Chordata; Mammalia; Primates; Hominidae
Description: long non-coding RNA NONHSAT215936
Source: RNAcentral